Molecule: transfer RNA, 57 nt
Filed under: Ovis aries (sheep)
Lineage: Eukaryota; Metazoa; Chordata; Mammalia; Artiodactyla; Bovidae
Rfam family: tRNA
About the family: Transfer RNA (tRNA) molecules are approximately 80 nucleotides in length.
Source: Rfam by way of RNAcentral
UAGCUCAGUUGGUAAAGAAUCUGCCUGCAAUGCAGGAGACCCAGGUUCAAACCCUGG